RNAcentral lists this ribosomal RNA (458 nucleotides) under uncultured Desulfobulbus sp. RNAcentral's name for it is "bacterial SSU rRNA". It matches the Rfam family "Bacterial small subunit ribosomal RNA", at positions 930 to 1382 of the family's 1533-position model. Lineage: Bacteria; Pseudomonadati; Thermodesulfobacteriota; Desulfobulbia; Desulfobulbales; Desulfobulbaceae. The record is from RNAcentral.
CGGUGGAGCACGUGAUUUAAUUCGAAGCAACGCGAAGAACCUUACCUGGUCUUGACAUCCCGGAGACCCUUAGGAAACUAGGGGGUGCUUCCAUCUGGAAGAAUCUGGAGACAGGUGCUGCAUGGCUGUCGUCAGCUCGUGUCGUGAGAUGUUGGGUUAAGUCCCGCAACGAGCGCAACCCUUGCCUUUAGUUGCCAGCAGUUCGGCUGGGCACUCUAAAGGGACUGCCGGUGUUAAACCGGAGGAAGGUGGGGAUGACGUCAAGUCCUCAUGGCCUUUAUGACCAGGGCUACACACGUACUACAAUGGCCGAUACAAAGGGCAGCGACACUGCGAGGUGAAGCCAAUCCCGUAAAAUCGGUCUCAGUCCGGAUUGGAGUCUGCAACUCGACUCCAUGAAGUUGGAAUCGCUAGUAAUCGCGAAUCAGAAUGUCGCGGUGAAUGCGUUCCCGGGUCUU